UACAAGUUAUGAUAACAUGUCCUUCCUUCUGUCAUUGUUGUCAUCAGGUUUGGGUGGAGCUGGUGGAGUCCCAGGUGGAGUUGGAAUAGGAACUGGAUAUGGAGAUUUCAUAUUUUCACAGGAUAUGGGACUGGGGCAAAACCACCUAAAUAUGGUAAUUAUUUUUAAUUUUUAUAAUAAAUAGGAGUUUCAAUAUACUACAGAAACUCUCUAAACCAGGGGUCUCCAAUCCUGCUCCUGGAGAGCUAAUUUCUUGUUGACUUCAGUUCCAGCCCUGCUCCUACAAACCUGCCAGUUAUUUUCCAAUAAUCCUGAAC
Molecule: long non-coding RNA, 317 nt
Filed under: Sinocyclocheilus anshuiensis
Lineage: Eukaryota; Metazoa; Chordata; Actinopteri; Cypriniformes; Cyprinidae
Description: lncRNA (ENSSANG00000035489.1)
Source: RNAcentral